UCCCGGGGCUCAACCUCGGAACUGCAUUUGAUACUGGGUAACUUGAGUACUGGAGGGGAGACUGGAAUUUACGGUGUAGCAGUGAAAUGCGUAGAUAUCGUAAGGAAGACCAGUGGCGAAGGCGAGUCUCUGGACAGUUACUGACGCUGAGGCACGAAGGCCAGGGGAGCAAACGGGAUUAGAUACCCCGGUAGUCCUGGCAGUAAACGGUGCACGUUUGGUGUAGGGGGGAUUCGACCCCUUCCGCGCCGGAGCUAACGCGUUAAACGUGCCGCCUGGGAGUACGGUCGCAAGAUUAAAACUCAAAGAAAUUGACGGGGGCCCGCACAAGCGGUGGAGUAUGUGGCUUAAUUCGAUGCAACGCGAAGAACCUUACCUGGCCUUGACAUGCAUCUCUAAGUUGGUGAAAGCCAGCGAGUGUCGAAAGACACAAUUUGCACAGGUGCUGCAUGGCUGUCGUCAGCUCGUGUCGUGAGAUGUUCGGGUUAAGUCCCGCAACGAGCGCAACCCCUGUGAACUGUUGCCACUCUCUUUAUUGAGAAGCACUCUGUUCAGACUGCCCUGUGAAACGGGGAG
Molecule: ribosomal RNA, 576 nt
Filed under: uncultured bacterium
Lineage: Bacteria
Description: bacterial SSU rRNA
Rfam family: Bacterial small subunit ribosomal RNA
Source: RNAcentral